Molecule: long non-coding RNA, 4888 nt
Organism: Haliotis rufescens (red abalone)
Lineage: Eukaryota; Metazoa; Mollusca; Gastropoda; Lepetellida; Haliotidae
Exons: 2
Source: RefSeq, a predicted model, not a curated record
CAAUUUUGAUUGGACUAUGCAUGGACUCGCUAGUCCAGCCAAAAUGUAACUCCAUAAUACCAGCCUAGUUCGGCAAGGGUGGAAACUGGACUUUUAGUUAGUUAACUCUCUUGCCUCGGAAAGAUGUAAAGAACAUCGAUGGAGGAGUUGGUAUACAGUGAAACCCUAAUUCCAACGUCAUCAGGGACUGGCCAUUUUACUCUGUCCAUGUAUUGCCAUUCACAUUACAUAAAACUUUCAAGAAAUCUCGACAUGAAAAAGUGCUUGUUCUUGCAAUUGUUUAGUUGCAACAAACAGUGUUAACGAAAAAGAUAAUCUUGUAUAGUGGUUACCAUAGAGAAAACGUCAAACUGAAGCAAACAUGUUGUCUGAAGUUGUCUAAAAAUAUAUUACUAUUAUUUUUUUUUACCCAAGGUUUGCAGCAUUGGAUCUAUGAUUUACUGUACCAAUACGAAAAGACACAGUCACUCAAUAUAUAAUGUUAUAUUGACAGAUAUAUAAAAUUAAUGUAGAAUCGUUUCCAAAUAUGAUUGACAGUGGUAUUGUUGGGAAACAUCUUUCCUGCAAACAAAAUCUGACAGACCAAUAUAUAUAUACUGAUGUAGGAGUACAGCAAUGCAUUUUCCUCCAUAAAACUGAUGAACAUUUAACCAUCGUUGCCCUGUAUCAGUUAAAAUGAAUAUGAAACCAUUAUUGAUUUGUUGAACUUGCAAGAAGUUUAUUAAAUUUGGUUAAUAUAUUUGCACAUAUAUGCAUAAUUUAGUUUACCUCAGAGCUAUUGAGGUACAUCUUCUGUGACUAUUUUAACAAGUUUACCUGCCUUAGAUAUAUGUAUACAAAACCAUCAGCUGAUGAACCAAAGCCAGAUCUCUUUUACACCAAAGCAUAUUGAAUGUUUAAGUAUUGGCCAUGUGAAACUGCUGAAAUAUUCUCUGCUUCCAGCAUUUGAUAUUGUAGUUUUAUUUUGUUGGUCAGAACUUUAAUGUGUUACCGAUAUUCCAUUGUCAAACUGCUGAAGUUGUGUAUCCCCUUAUCAUGAAGCUUUACUUCCAGCAUCAGAGAGAGAAAGUAUUAUUCAAUUAAACUGCUGACAUCGAUAUUUUCAAAAUUACUACUGACUGCCAGAAAUGGAAAUGCAUUAUUCAUCUGUUGAACAAGAAAUUAGGAAAUUGUAUUCUAUUUCAAACAUGUUUGUACAGGCAUCUUAUUGAUUUUGUUCUUGUAUAUAAGAAUUCUUGCUUGCCAAAAUAUUUGUAUAUAGCCUUGAUACAGUUGUGUAACCAGAGUGACUGGGUUGCUUGUAUUGUUGUUGGAAAUCUAUACCAUUAAGUUGCGGUCUGUGAUAUAGUAGCUGUGAUGAGCAAAUUGUUUUUCUAUUCUAUUGUUCAUGAGCCAAGCCUAUUGUUCAUGAUUCUACUCUAUUCAUGAUUCAAACCUAUUGUUCAUGAUUCUAACCUAUUGUUCAUGAUCCCAACCUAUUGUUCAUGAUUCCAACCUAUUGUUCAUGAUUCCAACCUAUUGUUCAUGAUUCUACCCUGUUCAUGAUUCUAACCUAUUGUUCAUUAUUUUACUCAGUUCAUGAUUCUACUCUAUUCAUGAUUCUAACUUAUUCAUAAUUCUACCCUAUUGUUCAUGUUUCUAUCCUGUUCAUGAUUCUACCCUAUUGUUCAUGAUUCUACUCUGUUCAUGAUUCUAUCCUUUCUUCAUUCCAUUGUUGCAUAUCUUCAUGUUCUCAUGUAAGCCAGUUUUGUUUUGAUGAUACAUGAAGUACACAAUUUGUUUAUGUUGAAAGUAUGACAUGAAACAGUGUUUGCCUUUCUCAGAAUUUCCUACAAAAUAAUAUUAUGAACAGAAGACAGUUUUACAUCAUUUUGUAAAGAAAAAGUGUGAUCCUUGAUACAAAAUCAUACCUUAGUAAUAAGUAGUAUUAUAUUGGUAAUGAUAACUUUCUGUGAUUUGCUGUGAUUGGUAUUAAGCUAUGUGCACAUUCAGAAGCAUUCUGUUCUUUGGCUUGUAUGUUAUUGUUAUGAAGUCCAUUGACACACCUUAAGAAUACUCAGACAAAGGCGGAAAUACUGACAUACAGCCUCUCUGGCUGUUGUCAAAAAUGAAAAUAUUGUGAAUAAAUAAAAAAAAUCACAAAUAUAUUUUAAAUUCCUUUUGCUUCAUUUAACACAAUGUGCCUUUUUUGUUAUUGCUCUGCUCAUAUUUUCAACAAUGUUAUUAUAACAAUACCAGACAUGCCAGAGUGAUGUCAUAAAAGUUAUACCACUCCUCAGUAGUGUAUGUGACAGUAAAAGUUAUCCCUCCCCUCAGUAGUGUAUGUGACAGUAAAAGGUAUCCCACUCCUCAGUAAUGUAUAUGUAUGUGACAGUAAAAGUUAUCCCUCUCCUCAGUAGUGUAUGUGACAGUAAAAGUUAUCCUUCUCCUCAGUAGUGUAUGUGACUGUAAAAGUUAUCCCACUCCUCAGUAGUGUAUAUGACAGUAAAAGUUAUCCUUCUCCUCAGUAGUGUAUGUGACAGUAAAAGUUAUCCCUCUCCUCAGUAGUGUAUGUGACAGUAAAAGGUAUCCCACUCCUCAGUAGUGUAUUUGACAAUAAAAGUUAUCCCCACUCCUCAGUAAUGUAUAUGUAUGUGACAGUAAAAGUUAUCCCUCCCCUCAGUAGUGUAUAUGUAUUUGACAGUAAAAGUUAUCCCUCCCCUUAGUAGUGUAUUUCGACAGUAAAAGGUAUCCCACUCCUCAGUAAUGUAUAUGUAUGUGACAGUAAAAGUUAUCCCUCUCCUAAAUAGUGUAUGUGACAGUAAAAGUUAUCCUUCUCCUCAGUAGUGUAUGUGACUGUAAAAGUUAUCCCACUCCUCAGUAGUGUAUAUGACAGUAAAAGUUAUCCUUCUCCUCAGUAGUGUAUGUGACAGUAAAAGUUAUCCCUCUCCUCAGUAGUGUAUGUGACAGUAAAAGUUAUCCCUCCCCUCAGUAGUGUAUAUGUAUUUGACAGUAAAAGUUAUCCCUCCCCUUAGUAGUGUAUUUCGACAGUAAAAGUUAUCCCUCCCCUCAGUAGUGUAUGUGACAGUAAAAGUUAUCCCUCCCCUCAGUAGUGUAUAUGUAUUUGACAGUAAAAGUUAUCCCUCCCCUCAGUAGUGUAUUUCGACAGUAAAAGUUAUCCCUCCCCUCAGUAGUGUAUGUGACAGUAAAAGUUAUCCCUCUCCUCAGUAGUGUAUUUCGACAGUAAAAGUUAUCCCUCCCCUCAGUAGUGUAUUUCGACAGUAAAAGUUAUCCCUCCCCUCAGUAGUGUAUGUGACAGUAAAAGUUAUCCCUCCCCUCAGUAGUGUAUGUGACAAUAAAAGUUAUCCCACCCCUCAGUAAUGUAUAUGUAUUUGACAGUAAAUGUUAUCCCACUCCUCCGUAGUGUAUGUGACAGUAAAAGUUAUCCCUCCCCUCAGUAGCAUAUGUGACAGUAAAAGUUAUCCCUCUCCUCAGUAGUGUAUAUAACAGUAAAAGUUAUCCCUCUCCUCAGUAGUGUAUAUGACAGUAAAAGUUAUCCCACUCCUCAGUAGUGUAUAUGACAGUAAAAGUUAUCCUUCUCCUCAGUAGUGUAUAUAACAGUAAAAGUUAUCCCUCUCCUCAGUAGUGUAUGUGACAGUAAAAGUUAUCCUUCUCCUCAGUAGUGUAUGUGACAGUUAAAGUUAUCCCACUCCUCAGUAGUGUAUAUGACAGUAAAAGUUAUCCCUCUCCUCAGUAGUGUAUGUGACAGUAAAAGGUAUCCCACUCCUCAGUAGUGUAUUUGACAAUAAAAGUUAUCCCCACUCCUCAGUAAUGUAUAUGUAUGUGACAGUAAAAGUUAUCCCUCCCCUCAGUAGUGUAUAUGUAUUUGACAGUAAAAGUUAUCCCUCCCCUUAGUAGUGUAUUUCGACAGUAAAAGUUAUCCCUCCCCUCAGUAGUGUAUGUGACAGUAAAAGUUAUCCCUCCCCUCAGUAGUGUAUAUGUAUUUGACAGUAAAAGUUAUCCCUCCCCUCAGUAGUGUAUUUCGACAGUAAAAGUUAUCCCUCCCCUCAGUAGUGUAUGUGACAGUAAAAGUUAUCCCUCUCCUCAGUAGUGUAUUUCGACAGUAAAAGUUAUCCCUCCCCUCAGUAGUGUAUGUGACAGUAAAAGUUAUCCCUCUCCUCAGUAGUGUAUUUCGACAGUAAAAGUUAUCCCUCCCCUCAGUAGUGUAUUUCGACAGUAAAAGUUAUCCCUCCCCUCAGUAGUGUAUGUGACAGUAACAGUUAUCCCUCACCUCAGUAGUGUAUUUCGACAGUAAAAGUUAUCCCUCCCCUCAGUAGUGUAUGUGACUGUAAAAGUUAUCCCUCCCCUCAGUAGUGUAUUUGACAGUAAAUGUUAUCCCACUCCUCCAUAGUGUAUAUGACAGUAAAAGUUAUCCCUCCCCUCAGUAGUGUAUAUGUAUUUGACAGUAAAAGUUAUCCCUCCCCUCAGUAGUGUAUAUGACAGUAAAAGUUAUCCCUCCCCUCAGUAGUGUAUAUGACAGUAAAAGUUAUCCCUCCCCUCACUAGUGUAUAUGACAGUAAAAGUUAUCCCUCCCCUCAGUAAUGUAUAUGUAUUUGACAGUAAAAGUUAUCCCUCCCCUCAGUAGUGUAUAUGACAGUAAAAGUUAUCCUUCUCCUCAGUAGUGUAUGUGACAGUAAAAGUUAUCCCUCCCCUCAGUAGCAUAUGUGACAGUAAAAGUUAUCCCUCUCCUCAGUAGUGUAUAUAACAGUAAAAGUUAUCCCUCUCCUCAGUAGUGUAUAUAACAGUAAAAGUUAUCCCUCUCCUCAGUAGUGUAUAUAACAGUAAAAGUUAUCCCUCCCCUCAGUAGUGUAUAUGACAGUAAAAGUUAUCCUUCUCCUCAGUAGUGUAU